Ahaetulla prasina is the source of this 3577-nucleotide long non-coding RNA. RefSeq lists it as uncharacterized. NCBI's taxonomy places the organism in Eukaryota, Metazoa, Chordata, Lepidosauria, Squamata, Colubridae. The record is from RefSeq and is a predicted model, not a curated record. The transcript has 3 exons.
AUCACUAUUUUAGAGGCAGUUUGCCGUGGCCUCCUUUGUAGGGCUGCCAGAAAGUGAGUGGCCUAAAAUCACCCAGCUGGCUACAUGUCUAAGGCAGGACUAGAACUCAUACUCUUCUGAUUUUCAGACUGGUGCCUUAACCAUUAGACCAAACUGGCUGCAAUUCUGGCUUACUGGGAUUUAAAUUAGACCAUUAUGUACUGUAAACUAUGCUUUAUAAGUUAGCAAAUUAAAUGCAUCAAGCAAACCAUGAUUCAUUCAAGAAAAGUGGUUGACAUAAAACUUAUUUUCGCACAAAAAUCACUGUGGUGUUGGGGUGAAGGUAUUGGACUAGGAUGGGGAGGGUCACGUUCUGAUUCAUUUUCAGCUAUGGAUUUUCACAGUAUGUCUUAAGGCCAGCCAUACUGUCUCAACCUAACAGGUAUAAAAUAGAGACCCUCAUGGAAAUUCUUGAACUUCUGUGGAAAAGGCAGAAUGAACGUUUAAUAAAUAGUAGCACUACAGUACAUAAGCAAUCUUAGUAAGACACCAGUGGUGGGUUCUAACCAGUUUUACCACCGGUUUGCAUUGCCCGCGUGCUUUGCGUGCAAUCAAAACUUGCAUUUCGCGCAAGCGCAUUGAGUGAAAAAACAGCUGAGGCAUGGCAAUCCCCUCUGCUGCGCCUUAUAGCUGAGCUAAAAACAAAGGAAUAAAGGUAGGUAUAGUGUGGGGGUGGGUGGGAGGGCCCAGAUAACCUUAGGAGCAAACUGGUUCGUUCUCAUAUCAAGAUUUCCGCUACCAGCUCUCCCAAACCGGGGAGAACCGGUAGCAACCCACCACUGUAAGAGACCCAUCUCAUAUGACCCUCUUCAGCCCCAGGGUUCUUGUAGGAAAGUUGUAGAUUUGAUUUUGUGGUGGGGAUAAGACAAGUAUAAAGAGAGGCUUGAUAUAUCAAAUGUAAAUUCAUAUUAAGGAUAUUUUGUUCUUUUCUUUCAGAUUCUUCUUGCUACUGUAUUGCUUUCGUGGGGCUACGUCAUUUACGCAACCCGAAUAGCAGCCAAAUGGCAAUUGAAGGAGAUGUAUCCCACACAAGCCCAGAAUAUUUAAGACACCUCCAGAGUGGAAUACCACAGAAAUACAAGCACAUUCUAUAAUACCAUAAAUAAUAAUCUGCAAAAACCUGCAUUCCAUACCAGAGUGGCUAAACUGCAGUAGCAACAUUGAAGCUUCAGAAGUACAGAUUUAGUAUUCUGAUACUUAACACUAAUAGCAUAUAAUUGAGAAAAAAUGGGAAAAUAUCCUUGAAUAUCUUAUUUUUUAAAAAGAGAAAUUUACUGUUCAGGCUGGAGCACAGUAUUGCAGGCAGUCUACAAGCCCAGAUUACAGAAUGUAGCAAUCUUCUGAAUGAAUAAAUAAUCGAUAUUUCAGAGUUGAUAUGGAAAAUCAGCCUUAUGAAAGACAUAGAUUAAGAAACUAAUCAAGAAGCAGUUUGGCAGCAGAUCAAGAAGUCGAUCUAACAGUAGAUCAGGAACUGCCAGGCAUCCUGAUAGAGGACAUUCUGGAAAGAUAUAUAGGAAAACAAAAUAUAAAAUGCAAUUACUAGAAGAGGAUCCAAAGAGAUAACAAAGAAACCUCUUCUCUAAGACAAAGCAAUGCUCUAAAGACAUCCUUACCAAAGCAUUAGGCCAUUUGUGGGAAAGCUGCUAGCAAUACAGACAGGCACUCUCCAGUGGAGAUUCAAGAAGAAAAAACAAUCAAAAAGCCCAAGUGUUGAAAGUAUUUAUGAAGUUUGGAAAGUCACUGAUACAACAAGACAAACAGGAUGACAAUUAAAAACCAGAAUUCAUGAACACCAGCUGACAGUCAACGGGCAUGACCAGAAGUCCCUGAUCUUGAGCCACGUCGACAAUAUACAAAGUCCCAUUUCAACUGGGACAAAGCCAGAAUCAUUAGCCAUGCUAAAACUCAUCAUAUAUGGGAAUUCAUCGAAGUCUAGUACUAUACAAAUGGAUCCAUCAACAAACACAUUGAUUUAGAACCACCUAUAAAAAACAGGACUGUUCACAAUCAACAAUGGAACCAACCGCCCCCUCACCAGCUGAAUUUUGCACCAAGCCAUUCACAUGACCUACUGACCACACAAGACCUAUAUAAACAAGAGAGAAGCGGAACAAGACACUUCACCCAAAGUCCCGCUGAAGAUAUUAUCUAGUUUGGUAAUAAAACAUUCGGGAGCUAAAUGAUGCAUAUGAUGAGCAGACAAAUUACGAUUGUCCAGCUCCAGCAGGUAAAGAAGGAAGCAACUGAGUCUUCUAUUAUUACAAUAUCUCCAGAUGAAACUGAAACCCAAGUACCUGAACAUCGCUUUCAGAAGUGACACAGGCCAGGCACCCUGGGAUGACGAAACACCAGGCCCAUCUUAUUUCAAUUUAGGGCAAAUUCAUGCUUCUCCAUCUACUGAGACACCUCUGGAAGCGCUGAUGAAUACCCUUCUGCAAACAUAACUGGGUUACAGAUGUCACAACCAGCAAAUAUAGAAGUGAAUGGUGACAAUUGUGAUUCUUUUGACAACUCUGUUGUUGACUGUAAAACCAUUACGAGGUAAAAACUUAGUAACGAGGACAGCCAUGCAUCUGGAUCCUGAUGGCUGGCAACUCUGUGGUAGACCCAAGAAAAGGGGGAUAGAUUGCAUCAAAGAGGAUAUGAAAUACGUGGGUGUCGCCCCUGAAGAUGCACUGGAUUGAGCCAAAUGGAGAAGACUCUGCCAUAACAUGGAAGUAGCACUAGAAGAAAGAGCAGCCUAUCCAACUGUGCAGCUUUAGUGCCACAGAUGCUAGUAGAUCUGCAACACCCUCCUCUGCAGGUUCCAGAGAUGGUGCUGCCAAUCAUAAGAAUAAUGAAUGCCUCUCCUCAGAAAAGAAGAUCCAAGAGGAAUGAAAAAAGAGUGACUAAAGCAAGAAAAGCGCCUUAAAUUACUAUAUAUUCUUUGUUAAAUAUUCUUAGAAACCUUAUUUUUUCCUCUUUGUUACAAGUUUUUGCUUUGUAGUUUAACCAAUAUUUAAUGUCCUUAUACAUCUUGUUUACAUUAUAUAGCUUUAUAUAAAAAGGCCUUGGUUUUUAAUUUUUGAUUAACAAUGGUUGAAGCAACCAGAAGAACAAGAACAAGAACCAGAAUUUGUAUCUCCUUUGACUCCUGAAGCGGUAAAAGAGGAAGUUAUGAAGAAUGUUUUUAUAAUAAUUACUUGUUUACUAUUGUUUUGAUCUUUGUUAUAAUGCAUAAAGAAGAACUUGUUUUAUGAAAUUUAAUUUUAAUAAAUUAAAAUGUUGUAAAAUUGAGUCUGUUUCAUUUUACGACAUUUUUGAUUUACAACCCUAAUGGACAGGUUCCAAUAGGGUCAUACAUCAAGGACUAUGUUAAGUAUUACUAAAGUCUUUAUUUUUCCUCUUAGUUACAAUUUUUUGCUGUGUAUGUUAACGAAUAUCUAGGGUGUCUUUCUGCUUAUUGAUUACAUUAUAUGGCUGGAUGAAAAGGCCUUAAUUUUUAUAGUUUUUAAUGUUUUAAUAGUUAUUGUUUAAUAUUGUUUCUAACUUUGUUGUA